AUGGCCAGCAGAAGUAACGGGCUUUAUGGAGACACCCCAAUGGCGGCAUUGCCUCUCCAUAAUACACUCAUCCUAGCUGUGCUCACUGAUGGCACCAGUGCAUUCUUCCUUGUGGCUGCAUAUUACUCUGCUGUUUCAGUCUCGGCAGGAGGGACUUCAGCUCUGAACUGCACUUAUGAGAACAGUGCAUUUGACUACUUCCCAUGGUACCGGCAAUUCCCUGGUGAAGGCCCUGCACUUCUGAUAGCUAUACGUUCUGGGUUGAAUAUAAAGGAAGAUGGAAGAUUCACAGUCUUCUUCAGUGAAGGCACGAAACAGCUCUCCUUGCACAUCACAGAUUCUCAUCCUGCAGACUCAGCCACCUACUUCCGUGCAGCACAGUGUUCUCCAGGCACCUGCAGCCCAUACCCAAACCUGUAG
This is a non-coding RNA of Peromyscus eremicus (cactus mouse), 420 nucleotides long. Lineage: Eukaryota; Metazoa; Chordata; Mammalia; Rodentia; Cricetidae. The record is from the annotation of a RefSeq genome assembly.